GUGGACAUAGUUUAAUUAAGACACUAGAUUGUGAUUCUGGGAAUAGAGGUUAAACCCCUCUUGUCGACC
RNAcentral lists this transfer RNA (69 nucleotides) under Galaxias truttaceus (spotted mountain trout). RNAcentral describes it as "tRNA-His". It matches the Rfam family "tRNA". Rfam says of the family: Transfer RNA (tRNA) molecules are approximately 80 nucleotides in length. Their secondary structure includes four short double-helical elements and three loops (D, anti-codon, and T loops). Lineage: Eukaryota; Metazoa; Chordata; Actinopteri; Galaxiiformes; Galaxiidae. The record is from RNAcentral.